GAUGAACGCUGGCGGCGUGCCUAAUACAUGCAAGUCGAGCGAACAGACGAGGCGCUUGCUCCUCUGACGUUUGCGGCGGACGGGUGAGUAACACGUGGAUAACCUACCUAUAAGACUGGUAUAACUUCGGGAAACCGGCGCUAAUACCGGAUAAUCUAUUGAACCGCAUGGUUCAAUAGUGAAAGACGGUUUUGCUGUCACUUAUCGAUGCAUCCGGGCGGCAUUAGCUAGUUGGUAAGUUUACGGCUUACCAAGGCGACGAUGCGUAGCCGACCUGUGAGACGGGUAGGCCACAUGGGAACUGGAACGCCGACAAGACGACUGAGGGACGCACCAGUAGGCAACCGGACGCAAUAGGCGAGAGUAUGACGGAACAAGGCGGCGUGAGUGAUGAAGGUCUUCGGAUCGUAAAAAUCUGUUAUUAGGGAAGAACAAAUGUGUAAGUAACUAUACACGUCGUGACGGUAACUAAUCAGAAAGCCACGGCUAACUACGUG
Molecule: ribosomal RNA, 497 nt
Filed under: uncultured bacterium
Lineage: Bacteria
Description: partial 16S ribosomal RNA
Rfam family: Bacterial small subunit ribosomal RNA
Source: RNAcentral